Molecule: ribosomal RNA, 256 nt
Filed under: uncultured bacterium
Lineage: Bacteria
Description: partial 16S ribosomal RNA
Rfam family: Bacterial small subunit ribosomal RNA
Source: RNAcentral
UACGUAGGGUGCAAGCGUUAAUCGGAAUUAUUGGGCGUAAAGGGUGCGUAGGCGGCAUAAUAAGGUAUUGGCGGGAAAUCGAGGCUCAACCUCGUGGAAACUGAUAAUACUGUUUUGCUUGAGUACAGGAGAGGUUAACGGAACUCCAUGUGGAGCGGUAAAAUGUGUAGAUAUAUGGAAGAACAUCAAUAACGGCGAAGGCAGUUAACUAUUCUGUUACUGACGUUGAGGCACGAAAGCGUGGGGAGCAAAAAGG